Molecule: non-coding RNA, 96 nt
Filed under: Bradyrhizobium sp.
Lineage: Bacteria; Pseudomonadati; Pseudomonadota; Alphaproteobacteria; Hyphomicrobiales; Nitrobacteraceae
Description: Glycine sequence
Rfam family: Glycine riboswitch aptamer
About the family: This family represents the bacterial glycine riboswitch. Glycine riboswitches usually consist of two metabolite-binding aptamers domains with similar structures in tandem. The aptamers cooperatively bind glycine to regulate the expression of downstream genes.
Source: RNAcentral
UCAAUUGUCACGGAAGAGCUCGGAUCGCCAUUUGCGACCGACGCCGAAGGAGCAACCGCCCCGGAAACUCUCAGGCAAAAGGACCGUGACAACAUU